RNAcentral lists this ribosomal RNA (521 nucleotides) under uncultured Pseudomonas sp. RNAcentral's name for it is "bacterial SSU rRNA". It matches the Rfam family "Bacterial small subunit ribosomal RNA", at positions 10 to 526 of the family's 1533-position model. The record is from RNAcentral. Lineage: Bacteria; Pseudomonadati; Pseudomonadota; Gammaproteobacteria; Pseudomonadales; Pseudomonadaceae.
AGUUUGAUCCUGGCUCAGAUUGAACGCUGGCGGCAGGCCUAACACAUGCAAGUCGAGCGGAUGAGUGGAGCUUGCUCCAUGAUUCAGCGGCGGACGGGUGAGUAAUGCCUAGGAAUCUGCCCGGUAGUGGGGGAUAACGUCCGGAAACGGGCGCUAAUACCGCAUACGUCCUACGGGAGAAAGCAGGGGACCUUCGGGCCUUGCGCUAUCGGAUGAGCCUAGGUCGGAUUAGCUAGUUGGUGAGGUAAUGGCUCACCAAGGCGACGAUCCGUAACUGGUCUGAGAGGAUGAUCAGCCACACUGGAACUGAGACACGGUCCAGACUCCUACGGGAGGCAGCAGUGGGGAAUUUUGGACAAUGGGCGAAAGCCUGAUCCAGCCAUUCCGCGUGAGUGAAGAAGGCCUUCGGGUUGUAAAGCUCUUUCGGCAGGAACGAAACGGCGGAUAUUAAUACUAUCCGUUACUGACGGUACCUGAAGAAGAAGCACCGGCUAACUACGUGCCAGCAGCCGCGGUAAUAC